Molecule: Y RNA, 102 nt
Filed under: Prolemur simus (greater bamboo lemur)
Lineage: Eukaryota; Metazoa; Chordata; Mammalia; Primates; Lemuridae
Description: Y RNA (ENSPSMG00000014473.1)
Rfam family: Y RNA
About the family: Y RNAs are components of the Ro ribonucleoprotein particle (Ro RNP), in association with Ro60 and La proteins. The Y RNAs and Ro60 and La proteins are well conserved, but the function of the Ro RNP is not known. In humans the RNA component can be one of four small RNAs -- hY1, hY3, hY4 and hY5.
Source: Rfam by way of RNAcentral
GGUUGAUCCAAGUGCAGCAGUGUUUACAGCUAAUUGAUCACAAUCAGUUACAGGUUCCUUGGUUCCUCUUCCACUCCCACUGCUUCACUUGACCAGCCUUAA